GACGAACGCUGGCGGCGUGCUUAACACAUGCAAGUCGAACGGAAAGGCCCUGCUUUUGUGGGGUGCUCGAGUGGCGCACGGGUGAGUAACACGUGAGUAACCUGCCCUUGUCUUUGGGAUAACUUCAGGAAACUGGGGCUAAUACCGGAUAGGAGCUCCUGCUGCACGGUGGGGGUUGGAAAGUUUCGGCGGUUGGGGAUGGACUCGCGGCUUAUCCGCUUGUUGGUGGGGUAGUGGCUUACCAAGGCUUUGACGGGUAGCCGGCCUGAGAGGGUGACCGGCCACAUUGGGACUGAGAUACGGCCCAGACUCCUACGGGAGGCAGCAGUGGGGAAUAUUGCACAAUGGGCGGAAGCCUGAUGCAGCAGCGCCGCGUGCGGGAUGACGGCCUUCGGGUUGUAAACCGCUUUCGCCUGUGACGAAGCGUGAGUGACGGUAAUGGGUAAAGAAGCACCGGCUAACUACGUG
Molecule: ribosomal RNA, 468 nt
Filed under: uncultured bacterium
Lineage: Bacteria
Description: partial 16S ribosomal RNA
Rfam family: Bacterial small subunit ribosomal RNA
Source: RNAcentral